RNAcentral lists this long non-coding RNA (320 nucleotides) under Homo sapiens (human). Its description in RNAcentral is "HSALNT0296090". The record is from RNAcentral. Lineage: Eukaryota; Metazoa; Chordata; Mammalia; Primates; Hominidae.
UUUACUUUUCCCUCUGCUUUUCUCAAGCAGAAUGAGUUUUGCCCCAUAGCCACCACAGCUAGUAACAUGCUGAGUUUUACCUCAAGCCAGCAAGUCUCAGAGGCUCUCUAAGGCCCUCAGUGUAGUACAAGACAGCUGGAUUAUUAUGUGCGCUUCUAUAUCCAAUCUGUUGCCAUAUCACAUAUUAUGUAGCCUCUGGAAAACUCCUGUCUCAUGAGAGAAUGAAUGAAAAAGGGUUGCACUGAAUUUGUAGAUUGAUUCAGAAAGAGUUGACAUCUUUGUCUACUUUAAAGAGAAGCCAUCAAUGGAUAUGUCUCUUC